This 672-nucleotide ribosomal RNA is filed under the name Citrobacter freundii. RNAcentral's name for it is "partial 23S ribosomal RNA". It matches the Rfam family "Bacterial large subunit ribosomal RNA", at positions 2259 to 2925 of the family's 2925-position model. Lineage: Bacteria; Pseudomonadati; Pseudomonadota; Gammaproteobacteria; Enterobacterales; Enterobacteriaceae. The record is from RNAcentral. RNAcentral also lists the same sequence under 2 other names.
UGGUGGGUAGUUUGACUGGGGCGGUCUCCUCCUAAAGAGUAACGGAGGAGCACGAAGGUUAGCUAAUCCUGGUCGGACAUCAGGAGGUUAGUGCAAAGGCAUAAGCUAGCUUGACUGCGAGAGUGACGGCUCGAGCAGGUGCGAAAGCAGGUCUUAGUGAUCCGGUGGUUCUGAAUGGAAGGGCCAUCGCUCAACGGAUAAAAGGUACUCCGGGGAUAACAGGCUGAUACCGCCCAAGAGUUCAUAUCGACGGCGGUGUUUGGCACCUCGAUGUCGGCUCAUCACAUCCUGGGGCUGAAGUAGGUCCCAAGGGUAUGGCUGUUCGCCAUUUAAAGUGGUACGCGAGCUGGGUUUAGAACGUCGUGAGACAGUUCGGUCCCUAUCUGCCGUGGGCGCUGGAGAAUUGAGGGGGGCUGCUCCUAGUACGAGAGGACCGGAGUGGACGCAUCACUGGUGUUCGGGUUGUCAUGCCAAUGGCAUUGCCCGGUAGCUAAAUGCGGAAGAGAUAAGUGCUGAAAGCAUCUAAGCACGAAACUUGCCCCGAGAUGAGUUCUCCCUGACUCCUUGAGAGUCCUGAAGGAACGUUGAAGACGACGACGUUGAUAGGUCGGGUGUGUAAGUGUAGCGAUACAUUGAGCUAACCGAUACUAAUGAACCGUGAGGCUUAACCUU